ACCCUCUGUUUUUAACCUCUGUGUGUGUAUGUGUGUGUGUGUGUGUGUGUGUGUGUGUGUGUGUGUGUGUGUGUGUGUGUGUGUGUGUGUGUGUGUAUAUCAGUGUGAGGAGGGGCUGCAGGUCCAUCAGGACUGAAAGAAGGUUCCAGGUUUUUGGACCAGAACCAGAGAAGAACCCACACUCCUUCAGCUCCACACUGAACUCUGUGUUGUGGACAGCCAAUGACGUCCUCCUGCUGGUUGCCGAGGACUUCUACCAGAGCGAGCGUCUCAGCAGGUUCUUCCUGGUUCCUGACCGUUUGGACCAAUGGGCUGAAAGCAUGCAGCAGAGGCUGUUGGGAUACCAGGAGCAGAGCAGGAAGUUUCUGAAAACGAACAGAGAGGCGUGUGAACGUCCGUCAGCUGCGAGCGUCUCUCAGAGAAGACGAGCUUCAGACUCUGAACAGCAGAGAAGAGCUCAGACAGCAGCAGCUGCACAGCACCGUCUGCUGCGCACACCUGGAACUACAGGUGUGUGUGAGAGUCCGAGGGGAGGAGUUUGUGACAUCACUGGCCUCUCUGACAGAGCGGCUGCUCUCUCAGCUGGACGACCUGCUCAUACCUGAAGGUAACUGACUGCAAGUAACUGACUGAAGGUAACUGACUGAAAGUAACUGACUGAAAGUAACUGACUGAAGGUAACUGACUGAAAGUAACUGACUGA
RNAcentral lists this long non-coding RNA (703 nucleotides) under Cottoperca gobio. Its description in RNAcentral is "lncRNA (ENSCGOG00000014276.1)". Lineage: Eukaryota; Metazoa; Chordata; Actinopteri; Perciformes; Bovichtidae. The record is from RNAcentral.